This 253-nucleotide unclassified non-coding RNA is filed under the name uncultured Gammaproteobacteria bacterium. RNAcentral describes it as "contains 16S-23S intergenic spacer region". It matches the Rfam family "Bacterial small subunit ribosomal RNA", at positions 524 to 776 of the family's 1533-position model. The record is from RNAcentral. Lineage: Bacteria; Pseudomonadati; Pseudomonadota; Gammaproteobacteria.
UACGGAGGGUGCAAGCGUUAAUCGGAAUUACUGGGCGUAAAGCGCGCGUAGGCGGUCGAGUAAGUCGGGUGUGAAAGCCCCGGGCUUAACCUGGGAAUUGCAUUCGAUACUGUUCGGCUAGAGUUUGGUAGAGGAAGGCGGAAUUCAGGGUGUAGCGGUGAAAUGCGUAGAUAUCCUGAGGAACACCAGUGGCGAAGGCGGCCUUCUGGACCAAAACUGACGCUGAGGUGCGAAAGCGUGGGGAGCAAACAGG